This is a non-coding RNA of Musa acuminata subsp. malaccensis (wild Malaysian banana), 3395 nucleotides long. Lineage: Eukaryota; Viridiplantae; Streptophyta; Magnoliopsida; Zingiberales; Musaceae. The record is from RefSeq and is a predicted model, not a curated record.
UUGACGACACCUGAGCUCCGCAGUCUCCACCUUCUCCGGCGAUUUCGGCUGCGACACCACCGAACCCGAUGGUGACCUUCGCCUCUCCUCUGCCCUCGAUGGCUACGUUCAUUACCUCGACCUCUCCUCGGACGUUAUCAAUGGAACACUCCGCUUUGCUGCCAACUACCUUUACCCUCUCUAACCUCCGACGGUCUCCGAUCGGAGCCAACGUCACGGAUUAGGGAUUUGUUCUUCCGGGUUUGGUCUCAUGUCCAUCUCUUCGUAUCGUCGCUUUUAUGAUUAAUGCUCUGCUGAUCCUACCCUACACGACCAAAGGGAGCUCCUGAUGGAACUCCUACUAAUCGUGUGCUCUUCCGUAUCAUUUUGGAACAAAUCACAACGUGUUGUACAACUCGCAGCUCCGUCUGCGGCGGCCAUGGCUAGGGCUAGCCUAGGGUUUGCGAUCCUUCUCAUCUCCUUGAUUCUCUCCACCGUGCGUGUUGGUUCGUGGCAUCCUUCUCCCCUGCUCAUAUGUUAUUCCCUUUUCUCUUGCCUUGCAGAUUCUACUAAAAAUUAGUCAGUUCUCCUCCGUGCAGUCUGGAGCCAUGUUCAUGAAAAGAAAUGACUGUCUCGAUCAAGUUUACUUUGUUGUCGGGAAACGAGCGCUUCUAUGGUCGUUCCCUCCAGGCCACCUCGGGGGAAUGUGCCUGCUUCUUGUAACAGCAUAAUUUCAGAUUAGAUAGUUUCCGAUCUACCAGGAAGGUAUGUUUCUCUGCACGAAUUGAGCACACUUUCAUGCUAAUGUAAGACUGUAUUUUUAUUUUGCUAAUAUAAGAAUUCAGCUCUCCUCAAGUGCAGAUCUACCAGGAAGGUGUGUUUCUCUGCACGAAUUGAGCACACUUUCAUGCUAAUGUAAGACUGUAUUUUUAUUUUGCUAAUAUAAGAAUUCAACUCUCCUCAAGUGCAGAUCUACCAGGAAGGUAUGUUUCUCUGCACGAAUUGAGCAUACUUUCAUGCUAAUGUAAGACUGUGUUUUUAUUUUGCUAAUAUAAGAAUCCAACUCUCCUCAAGUGCAAUGCCUGACAAGCACUGUGACAAUGCAUGCCAAUUGUAAUACACCAAGCAUGUUUUCUCCUACAGUAUUUAUUUGUCCUCUACUAGGAUUGAACUAUGAUUUUCUUCCUGAAGAUUUCAGCUAUGAACUCCUCACCACAAUCAUGUCACUAGUUGCCGCCAUUUUUGAGACAUGGGCCUUGUGGAGGCAGGAGCAUAGAGAGAAAUGGAGGUAAAGGCAUCCUCCACUUUUGUAAUGCACCAAGCCACUGGAUUGUUCUUGUGCAACAAUCAGCAUCCACCAGUUUCUUGGGUUUGCCUUUCUUUUCUUUGGCUAAUUGGAUGGAAAUUGAAAAUUUAGUGUUGGUACCUUUUUGGACAACAAAGACCUAAACAGUUUCGGUGUUUGCUUUCUAUUUGGACUGCACAAUUUCAAUAUUGGGAUUAUUGGAUGACAUUAUUUGCCAAAUCCAGGAAUAGCUUGCGAAGAUUUUAUAAGUUAGAAAGCUUCGCUUUGGAUAUCCUAAGAAUGAGACUGAGAUUAUGAAGAUGAUUGUCCCACUCAUGUCAUGUUAUUUGUCUCUCUUGUUUAUAAAACUCUCUGGAGAAUGGCAACCGAAACCUUCUACUGCAAUCCCUGCCCACAAUGCCUGUACAGGUCGAAGCAAUUCCAAUGAUGACUGGCAUCAGAGUCCAUGGCUAUGCCAACAAGAAAUCUAGUUUUUCUGGAUGGCAACUGUUGGCCAUUUUCUACUUAUUUAUCUGAUGGAUUCUACAUGACAAGUUACCAGAAAUUGAGGUGCUAAAGAGCUGGAAGCUGUAGGAUCUACUAUGAUUAAUGGAUUCAUAUUUGUCAUCGUCUAGUUGUUACUGGAAUCUUCAGCCAGUGGCAGUGUAAGAAAAAGAACUUACGGUUUUGUUAUACCAAACAAAUGGUAGAAGAUCUGGGAAAGCAUGCUAAUAAUGGUAAAUGAUGUGAAAGUACGAUUGGCCAUCAUUGAAAGUAAAGCACUUGGGGUCGAGCUGCACAUUGCCAAGUUGGAGAUGAGAGGUCAUUUGAAGAGACGCCAUGGAGGCCUACCACCACUUCCCUCACCCCCGACUGCUUCCACCUCCCGAUGUAACCCCAUGCUGUGAACCACACUGAGGCUACCACUCAAGACAUCAGAGGCCGCGCACCAUUUGAGGCACCACUGUAGUCUCCAUGGUGGAGCAGUCCAGGUGGGUCAUUGCCGACAUCAUGCUCAUGUCCAUCGCCUAUCAGUGGAGAAGGCCAUCUUCGGCUGUCUGCAGAUGGCAGUGCAUAAGGGUAGAUUCUUGAAGGGGCUUGAUCUGUUGAACGCGAUGAAACCGGUUGAUGUCUCUUGUUCAGCAAUUCUUGGUAUCUGCCAGGACACUCGAGAUCUCUAUUGGCAGUAGAAUGAUGGGCCACGCACCUGCAGCAUUGGUUCCGUGCUUACCAGCACAUAAAAAAUUAUUGAUGCUGCUGUUGGUGACAGUGCUAAUAGAGGAGGAUCAUGGUCCACCUUAUCUUAUCAACCCAUAGGAGGCCAAGAAGGUAUGCAAUCUUGGGUCCAUUGCUGCUGUUAAUUGGUUGCCAAUUAGAUCAGAUACUCUAAGAAAGGAGAGGCUGAGGGAGACUUCUAAAACUCUGUUACACAUUCGCCCUACAAAGGAGGCCCUUCCACCUGCAGUUCAACAGCUACCCUGGUGCUCAUUCUGUAUCAUGUAGCUCAAAUCUUUCUCCGGAUUCCACUGGCCACCAUCGGCAACCCUGUUGAUGAGCACAUCAAUCGAGUGACCGCCAUCGCAUUGUCCAUCUCAAUUAUUGGAUCUGAAGCUGCCCCUGACGCGAUGGAUGCAUGCAAUGAACCUUGAAUCCGGUCCGUCUAACAACUCUUCAUGGCAUGUUCUUUUGAUGCCUUCGUUUCUUUGGCAAAGUAUGCAUGCUUGACACUUUAGUCUAAGACCAAGCAGAUAAACGUCGACGUUGGAUGUGGGAAGUGAAAGCCACUCCAAAUCAGUUCAGAUCACCUGCAAUGAUCUGUCCAGCCAAUAGUGUGAUAAUUAUAAUCUUCAGCAUAAAUACGAUGUUUGAGAGUUUCUUUUAGCGGUUUUUCAUGAGAAAAUCACCCAAAAAUGUUAGGUUUUCGCAUUUGAAAAUUGUUGCGCACAUAAAAAAUUUUGAGGUACCAGUAACCUUUUUUGUCAGACUUGGUGUUCUUUUGAAUUAAGGAUAGGGUGUAAAUAACUCCAGGGGAAAUAAGCCAUUAAUAAAAUGCAUGUGUAGACAUACAUAAUUAAGAAAAUAUAGUUGUGAAAGUACGAUUAGGAUCUUGGCCUUCUUCUUAUGUGCUUAU